Molecule: long non-coding RNA, 3104 nt
Organism: Zingiber officinale
Lineage: Eukaryota; Viridiplantae; Streptophyta; Magnoliopsida; Zingiberales; Zingiberaceae
Exons: 8
Source: RefSeq, a predicted model, not a curated record
UUUUAUCGUGACUGUUAUUGUGGGCAGCCGAAGAGCUCUCCGACGGGGCUCUUGGUCUGAUCCCGAUAGUGCCAUGGCGACGUCGUCCAGAUUCGCCUUCUUCCUCUUCUGCCUGUCACUCCUGUACUCUACGGCGCUCUCCGACCUCGUGAUCUCGAGAUUCGAUCGACGGGUGGAUUUGACUUCCCACGUUGUACGGAUGUUGUCCUCGUGAAAGGAGAGUGAGAACUCGCCGCCGCCACUUCGACCUCCACCUCUGCUGCUCCUGAUGAUGAUGUCCCUUUUGAAGAAGACGCAUUUCGAGAUCGAAAGCCAUAUGCACUUUCACCAACCCCAGAUGCUUGUGCUACAUCACUCCAACGCAAAUCUUCACCUUCAAAGACAAAAUCAUUAUCAUCGUCUUUAUCACUGUCAUCCAAUUUUCCCAACAACCAUUCAUUACUAUCAUCUAUCUCUGACAAAUGGUUGUUACUAUAGUUGUACUGCCGUUUUGCACUGUUACAGUGCUCUUACUAUAGUUCUCUGAUUCAGUUUCCCAGAAUGGAAGACAAAUAUUAAAAAUAAAAAAGGACAAUAUUAACAAGUAAAGGAUGAACUUAAUGAACCAACCAUUCCAUUAAGACUCAAGUCUGAAUUAAAUUUAUCUGUCUUAUUGUCAUCAAAUAAAUUUCUUGUGGUCCAAUUUGAAAAAAAAUAAUAUGAUUAAAAUAGAUAUAACAACUUCUGCAACCAAAAAAAUUAAGAAACUUAUAGAUUUGGAAUUUUUGUUAAUUCUAUGAAGGCCUUUACUCUUAGAUCCAGUCCAACUUUCUAAGAUAGAUGAUAUGCUUUUGAGAUCAUUCCAUCUGUCCAUGUAACUUCAAUAUAAUCAUCUUGCCGAUCAAUUAUACUUCAACCCAAUAUAAGUUAGCAAACUUCUCAUAAACUUCAUUUUGACUUGAUGUGUCGAAAGUUUAGAUUUUGUUGAAUUAAGAGAAAUAAUUGGAGUGGUAGAGUGCACAACAUUAUCAUAUCAGUUAUAAUAAUUCAGAUGUGGAUCAAGUGUAUAUGCCCCAACAACUUACAAUCGAAUUCCAAGUUUCAAGCUUAGACCAUUUUACACAUGUAGUUUGUUUUUGAAAAUUCACAUUUUUUACUAUAGUGUGGCUACAUUCAAUGGAAUUGUUCUUUUUUGAAUAUCUUUUCAAUGACAUAUUGUCUUGGGAAAAAUUCAUUAUUUUGUGUAUGUCCAAUUAACAAUGUUGAUUGCAGCCCAUAUGCUUUAGUUCCAUCUUGCUAGAGCACAUCCAUCUUGAUAAUUAUGUUUGCAAUGAGAAAAGCUCUUUCACAGUCCUCUUCUUUCCUGAGCUUUCUUAGCAACAAAUGGCAGAGGCUGACAGAAAUUGGUUAGCCUCUGCCAUUGUGAACAAAGGGUUGCUCUUUCUUAAUGAAAGAGCUCUUCUCAUUGUGAACAUACCUACCAAGGUGAAUGUGCUCUAGCAAGAUAGAACCAAACCAUAUGCGUUGCAAUCAACAUUCGUUAAUUGGACGUCAUACUUAAAAUAAUAAAUUUUUCUCAAAACAAUAUGUUAUUGAAAAGGCAUUUAAAGAAGAAGAUAGUUCCAUUGAAUGUAGCCGCACUGGCAUAGCAAAAAUGUCAAUUGUCAGAAAUGAACUACUUGUGUAAGAUGGUUUAAGCUUAAAGACUUGGAAUUUGAUUGUGAUGAAGUUGUUGGGGUAUAUGCACUUGAUCCACAUCUAAAUUAUCAUUACUACUAUGAUGAUGUUGUGUGUUCUAUCACUCCAACUAUUUCUCUUGAUUCAACAUAAUCUGAAUUUUCGGCACAUCAAGUUAAAAUGAAGUUUGUGAAAAGUUUGCUAGAUUAUAUUGGGUUGGAAGUAUAACGGAUCGGUAAGAUGGUCAUAUUGAAGUUACAUGGAUAGAUGGAAUGAUCUCAAAAGUAUAUUAUCUGUUUUGAAAAGUUGCACUGACUCUAAUACUUAAAGGCCUUCAUAGAAUUAACAUAAAUUCUAAAUUUAUAAGUUCCUUAAUUUUUUUAGUUGCAGAAGUGGUUAUAUCUACUUUAAUUAUAUUACCUUUUUUCAGAUUGGACCACAUGAAAUUUAUUUUGUCAAUUGGUAUGAUAAUGAACUCACUCAGAAUGGUUCUAAUAUUGAUGAAAAUAAGACAGAUGAAUUUAAUUUAGACUUGAGUCUUAGUGGAAUUGUUGAUUUAAUAAAUUCACUCUUUAUUUGUUAAUAUUGUUUUUUUUUAAUUUUUGAUAUUGGUCUUCCAUUAUAGGAAAUUGAAUUAGAGAACCAUAGUGAGAGCAUUGCAACAUCGCAAGAAGAUAAUACUGGCAGACUAGAAGCCGGAGAAAUGGAAGUUGAUGACAUUUUGGACCAAUCAUCAUCAAUACAACAAACUGAUGACAAAGCUUAGUGAUGCAAGGAACUGGAUUAAAAAGAUCCAACAAGAAUGGAAUAUUCUUGGGACGAAUCUAUCUGAUGCUAUUUUUGUUCAAGUAUCUGAGGAGCGGUAAUAGUUGGAGCAAGUGGAAUGUCAUACCAUGAUAGCAUUUUCUUCUUUGAUUUUUUUAUCUUCGUCCAUACUACCCUCAAGUCCCACCGUCUGUCUAUUAUCAUUCUGGUGGCUAUGGGAUAUACCCAAAUCUGUUUGUUGAUGGGAAUGUAUGCUUAAGUUUGCUAAACACAUGGAAAGGGAAAUGAAAUCUGGGUUCCAUCUUCCACAAUCCUCCAAGUCUUUUUUUCACUACAAGGACUGGUUCUCAAUGAUAAGCCCUAUUUCAAUGCAGCUGGUUAUCAUCAGAAGAUUCAAACAAUUGAAGAUGAGAAGAAUGGAAUUUUGUACAAUGAGAACACCUAUCUACUCAACCUGAAAACGAUGCUGUAUCUUUUGUAAAGAUCUCCUAAGGUUGGUGCGACAAGCACAUCCUAUCACCAAUUAAUUUUGACUGCAAACCAUGGUGAAUUCAUAUUAUUUAGUUUAGUUCUUCCUAUUGUGUAAACAUUUAUGCAGUCAUAUUUGAAUUAUAGUUGGUCAUAAUUUUUCUGUGAUGUGGCUGUUUGGACACUUGAAAAUCAAGUAUGACUUUUGAUUCAUA